This 253-nucleotide ribosomal RNA is filed under the name uncultured bacterium. RNAcentral describes it as "partial 16S ribosomal RNA". It matches the Rfam family "Bacterial small subunit ribosomal RNA", at positions 524 to 776 of the family's 1533-position model. The record is from RNAcentral.
UACAGAGGGGGCAAGCGUUAUUCGGAAUUAUUGGGCGUAAAGGGCGCGUAGGCGGCCUGGCAAGUGGAAGGUGAAAUCCCUCGGCUUAACCGAGGAACUGCCUUCCAAACUGCUUGGCUUGAGUCCGGGAGAGGUGAGUGGAAUUCCCAGUGUAGCGGUGAAAUGCGUAGAUAUUGGGAGGAACACCAGUGGCGAAGGCGGCUCACUGGACCGGAACUGACGCUGAUGCGCGAAAGCGUGGGGAGCGAUCCGG